Potamilus streckersoni is the source of this 82-nucleotide non-coding RNA. The record is from the annotation of a GenBank genome assembly. Lineage: Eukaryota; Metazoa; Mollusca; Bivalvia; Unionida; Unionidae.
GCUCCGGUGGCCUAGUGGUUAGAGUGUCCACCUAGGAUGCGGGGGACGGGUCGCGAGUUUGACAGCUGCCUUGCUUAGUGCU